UGCGCAGGCGGCCAUGUGUGUUAGGCGUGAAAGCCCGGGGCUUAACCCCGGAAUUGCACCUAAAACUACAUGGCUAGAGCAUUGGAGAGGGUAGCGGAAUUCACGGUGUAGCAGUGAAAUGCGUAGAUAUCGUGAGGAACACCAGAGGCGAAGGCGGCUACCUGGACAAUUGCUGACGCUCAGGCACGAAAGCGUGGGAGCAAAAG
This 206-nucleotide ribosomal RNA is filed under the name uncultured bacterium. RNAcentral describes it as "partial 16S ribosomal RNA". It matches the Rfam family "Bacterial small subunit ribosomal RNA", at positions 568 to 774 of the family's 1533-position model. The record is from RNAcentral.